Nothoprocta perdicaria is the source of this 173-nucleotide long non-coding RNA. RefSeq lists it as uncharacterized. NCBI's taxonomy places the organism in Eukaryota, Metazoa, Chordata, Aves, Tinamiformes, Tinamidae. The transcript is spliced from 3 exons. The record is from RefSeq and is a predicted model, not a curated record.
CAGCUGAUUCCUGUUUGCUGUGCCAUUGAGUGACCAUUUUAGCUCACAGCAGGAAGAGGCCGGAGCUGUUAGAUUUCUCUUGAGACAGCCUCUCCGUCAAGAAAUGUAUGGAAUAGCAGUGACACUCUGUGAAUUGUAACUAGGAAAAGCCCAUUAAGGAAAAGCAGAGUUUC